CGAAGCUCUUCUCUUGUUAACCUCUUUGGUGUAGGGACUUGGUCAAUAGUAGGGGGGGCUGAGGGCUUCAAUAUUACUAGUUGAGGAGCGACCCUAGUCCUCCGAGCUUCAUGGUUCAAUUGCUCCUCUUGAUGUCGUGCGAAAGAGAUGGCUGCCAUAAGCGUAUACGGUUGUCGCGCUUUAACUUCUCCUCGGAUCUCCGGCUUCAAGCCCUCAAUGAAGGUCCACAAUAGCUAUUUUUG
This 242-nucleotide long non-coding RNA is filed under the name Musa acuminata (dwarf banana). RNAcentral describes it as "long non-coding RNA (MACU_LNC009193)". The record is from RNAcentral. Lineage: Eukaryota; Viridiplantae; Streptophyta; Magnoliopsida; Zingiberales; Musaceae.